UACGGAGGGGGCGAGCGUUGUUCGGAAUCACUGGGCGUAAAGCGUGCGUAGGCGGUUUUGUAAGUCAGAAGUGAAAGCCUAGGGCUUAACCCUAGAACUGCUUUUGAAACUACAUCACUAGAGUCCCGGAGGGGUAGAUGGAAUUCCGAGUGUAGAGGUGAAAUUCGCAGAUAUUCGGAGGAACACCAGUGGCGAAGGCGAUCUACUGGACGGGAACUGACGCUGAGGCACGAAAGCGUGGGGAGCAAACAGG
RNAcentral lists this ribosomal RNA (253 nucleotides) under uncultured bacterium. Its description in RNAcentral is "partial 16S ribosomal RNA". It matches the Rfam family "Bacterial small subunit ribosomal RNA", at positions 524 to 776 of the family's 1533-position model. The record is from RNAcentral.